GCGGAAGUGGCUCAAUGGUAGAGCGUCACCUUGCCAAGGUGAAUAUUGCGAGUUCGAUUCUCAUCACCCGCUCCA
RNAcentral lists this transfer RNA (75 nucleotides) under Clostridium chauvoei. Its description in RNAcentral is "tRNA-Gly". It matches the Rfam family "tRNA". Rfam says of the family: Transfer RNA (tRNA) molecules are approximately 80 nucleotides in length. Their secondary structure includes four short double-helical elements and three loops (D, anti-codon, and T loops). The record is from RNAcentral. Lineage: Bacteria; Bacillati; Bacillota; Clostridia; Eubacteriales; Clostridiaceae.